Molecule: non-coding RNA, 805 nt
Organism: Xyrichtys novacula (pearly razorfish)
Lineage: Eukaryota; Metazoa; Chordata; Actinopteri; Labriformes; Labridae
Source: the annotation of a GenBank genome assembly
GUGGUUUUUAGCAAAGCGCCCUGGGAAAUGAGUUAUCUAAGCGGCGCAUGCAAGAAAAGCCUGACAUUAAUCUUUAAUUAAGGCCUUUACAAUUUCGGACGACAUGCCCGGGAGUCUGGGAGAUACUGCAGGGGAUAGAUAUGAAGAGUGGGCAGCGAGGAGGUUCCAGGCAACAUAUUAUAUCUCGUGCUGAGCUCAUUUUGUCUCAUCAAAGUCAAGGAUCCGAUGAUCCGCCGAGACGUUGCCUCGCUUCUUUCGCUCAGUUGUUCGAAUCACGAGACGCCCUUUAAGGUAAGCUUGGCAUUGAGACUGAGCUUUUUCUUCUUCUUUUUUUAGAAGAACCGAUCUCCAGAGGUAGCAUUAGUGAAUACGAUGUGGAGUGCGGCGGCUUUGUCUCCUCACAGAGAUUUAAAUUGCCAAACAAUCCACGUCUCUUGAUGAGUGUCUGUCUUCUCAUCUCUGUCUGUGGGAACAUAUCAAGGUGACUCCACACAUUGUUUUUCCUUUCUGUUUUUUCAGUAAUUGGUUGUGUAUCUCUUGUUGAAAGAGCCAAGUGAUAAACCCGCUGGUAGAUGCAGCACGCCACUGAAGCUUUCCUCCUUGUUUUGUGACAGCUGCCGCCUUUGUGAUGUUCCACAAACCCGCCACCCCACAGGACACAACCUGUUUCAUUCCGGCUGGAGACUUUCGCAUGAAAAGGACGAGUCUCCCGUGAAACAAAGCUGGACUUUUUUUUGUAAUUGUUUUGAUUGCUCUUCAUCCUCCGUCCCUGAAGGAUGAAGGCAUCACAAAACUGAAAGAGGAG